RNA transcript from Oxyura jamaicensis (ruddy duck), 4148 nucleotides. It is a transcript of the gene named transmembrane protein 207, with no coding region annotated. The transcript is spliced from 3 exons. NCBI's taxonomy places the organism in Eukaryota, Metazoa, Chordata, Aves, Anseriformes, Anatidae. The record is from RefSeq and is a predicted model, not a curated record.
CACAAAAGCCCUCACCUGUGGUAAGAGCAGCUUUGUUUGUUUGCACCCCUUGCUUCCUGAGCUGCGAAGGGCUGUGAGAGAUGGGGGAGUUAUAAAAAUCCGCUUCAGGAAAAACUGAGGCUUUCUGGUGAAUUUGAGCCAGAUCUCCAGGGAGGGAAGAUGGGCUUAGCAAGAUUCAUGUUGCUAGGAAGAUGCUGCCUGGCCAGAGGGAAAUUCAGGGAGCAGCACCAGGAGGAGUCAGUGGGGAAAUCAAAGGAUGAGUUUCAGGGGACAGGCUGAAAGAAGGAAGCAUGCAGAGCCUGGCUGGUGAGCAGCCCGCGUUUCUCAGCCUGACACCAGCUAGGCAAGAAGGGGAGCUGAGCGACUGGAGGGCAGCCUGGUGGGGAGGGGGACCCUAUGGAGCCCCCUCUGUUCAUCCUCACCCUGAUCCCACCUACACAGCUCCUGGGGAACACAAGGCAGGUGGCUCCCCAGCAUCUCACCCCACACAGAGGCUGGCCAUAUUCCCAGGCAGAGCAUUUGAAUUUUCACCUGUAACAAGAGAAAAGUUAGAGAGCAGCUUGCUGCUGCUGCAUUUCUUGAAUACGUAAGCACUGACAUGAGUCCUCCCAGAUUAUGGGUUUGCAGCUAUUUAGCUGCAGCCUGUCCUGAGCUGGCCCUGCUGGUAAGAAACAAGGCUCUGAAAGCACUGUUCUGCCCUGCCCAGAAGGGCUGGGGGCACUUGGCAGGGGACAGGUUGAGACCCUCCAGCAACUCUAAAUAAGCCCAUAAACACCUUGCAAAAAAUCAAGAUGAGAUGUAGGGGUCAGCAACAGACUGCGAUGACAGUCAAUAGAUAUUUGGAAGAGCUGGAAAAGACAGCAGCUAUCUUCAUUGAAGGGCACAGCACACUGAGCCUGGCUGCUGGGUGUCGUGCCAAGAUGCACGUUGGGGUGGCCCUGUGCCUGUGUGGCCCCUCUUGCAGGGCAAAGCCCCAGCCUGGGAGGUUUCUUGGCUACGUAGUGCACGUGCCAGAAUAUAAUGGCCAGCAGCCGUGAUGUAUUUCAGUGUUCAUUGCUAAGUGGUUCUGCCUAGAAAAUUGACUUGAAAAUGUGUUUCAGGAUGUGCCAGAUAUUCUCAUGCUAAUUUCUCAGCCAAAACCUCCCAUGUGGUGUCCAAUGUGAUAUCAGUAACUCAAAGGCAGGGGAAAAUGAAGCCUCUAUCUGCUUUCAAGCAAUUUAUUCUCCUUUUGUCUUUUUACUUCCAGCAGCUAAGUAAAUUACAGGGAUUAAAAUACAAAAGACAUUUAAUUUUUUAACUGUAAUUUCUUAGCUCCUGGCAACAGAGUAACAAAAAAUGAAAGGAAAUUAAGAAAAAAAAUAAAAUGCAAAUACCAUUUCUAAUGAUUAAAAUACAAAUACAAUUUUAACUGAUUAAAAGUAAGAGGACCUGUUGGAACACAAAGAGACAGCAGCAGGCUUCAGGAUUCAAGUAGCCAUAAUCAGCUUCAACUUCACAUUAAAAACCUGAAGGGGGAAAUUUCUGCUGGGAGCAAUCAGUUCCCUGCAGUUUUCACUUUGUGAGGACAAGAACCAUGCUCCUUUAGCUCUCCUGCCACAGAGAGGCAAUGUUCAUCCCUUGGUCUUCACAUUAUCCUUCUCUUCUCUUGGACUGAACUGAAUUUACCUGCCCCAAGUCUUCCCAGGACAGACUGGGAGUAUGAUUGCAGUCUGGCUGAACCCAGGUGCCAAGAACACAGCUGCAAAAGCAAAGGCCAAGCCAACCACAGCAGUGAGGUCGAGCAGGGAGGUGAAGCUCCCAGCAGACGUGUGCUGGACGAAAAAACUGAUUGUGGUGGUUAUGUGAAAAUACAGACAAAAAAAAAAAAAAAAAAAAAAAAAAAAAAAAGCCAGCACUUGUUUAAUUAACAACAUCUGGCUGCCCUGCCUUUCCUCAUCUUCUUUCCACAUCACAUUUCUCCGCAUUCUCCAUCCUGACCCAUAUCCUUCCCACAUCCUACAUGUACCUGUCCCACCUCUCCUUCUCCUGCCUCUCUUGUCUUACUUAAAGUCAUGCCUCCAUGCUGGACUCUACGGGGAGGUUGGUCAGAGCUCAGCAAAGAGGUUGCUGUCUCAAAAAGCAUCCCCAGCAGCCACCAAAUAUUCUGAGGACAGGUAAAGAAGAGCUUUAAAUUGAUUUAAACUGCUAGUUGGGCUUAUCAGCUGCCAGGGGCUCUGUGUGGGCUCCUACUUUCUGGCAAAUCCCCUCCCACUCCCACCAAAAUCCACAGGUCCUCAAUUUGUUCCAUGCAACCUUGGCUCAAACCAAAAGUAUGAGUGAAAAUUGUCUUAUGACACUCAAGCAAACAAGGUAUGUACAUGUAAGAAUGAGUUCAGCUCCCGAAAUGCAGACCCCUAAUCCAGUCUUGGCCCUGUCAGAUUGAUCCUCCCUGGAUUCCCCAUCUCCCACUGCUGUAUUUCCCUCUCAUGGCACCCAGCAAGAGCGAGAACCUGGAGAAGCUGGUUUCUGUGGCAACUUUAAAAAUCACCCUCUGGAUGAUCCUGGAGUUACACAUCUUCCUCUCAUCGAAAGGACCAGGCCCAUUAAACAGAAGGGAUAAUGGACAGUCAUAAAUUGCUGUAUGUUGCAGUAGUCCCUCUUGCUGCCUGGGAGAUGCAUUUGUCACCUAGCAACGACACAAGGUGAUGAGGAAAUAACAGAUUUUUAAUCUAAUGGCCCUGAGUCAACAGCUAUCAGAGACCAGCCUGCAAGGUCCACUGAUGAGGUGGACGUAAUUGGUUGAGAAGGAAGGAGAAACCCAACCCAAGGAGAAGGGAGUAGGGGCUGCCUUUUAUAAACAUAUAUACAUGUGUAUGUAUAUAUAUACAUAUAUAUGUGUGUGUAUGUAUAGGUAUGUAUAUCCUCACAAAAUGACAAAAAGUCUGGAGAAAAUCCCUCAGACGAGAAAUAACCCUCGGACACAAGGCUACCCAGAAGACGAGUCUCUGGGCUUUGCAAAGCCCCAAAGGCAGAAGGCAGAGGAUGAGGCAGGAGGGGUCACAGCCUCCCAUGGGUUUUGGUGCAGAGCUCCUCUCAGCUUUGUGUCAGGUCCUUGUCUGCUCAUCUGAAACCUCUGUAUGGGACGGACCAACGGAAAACUUCAAAGUUUGCCCCUGGGUCAGGAAACUGGAUAGUGGCAGAGUUCAAGUCUCACCUUUUUAUUCUAGAAGUAGACCCAGAACAGAAGCUAUGCGUUAUUUUUCAGUAUUAAGAGCUCACUGUGAUAACUUCCCCCCUAAAUACUGGGGAUGAUGCAUGGGGCAGCAGGAAAUUGGAAGCUCUCUAGGUGCUGGCACCGGUGCAUUGAUAGAGGCAUCUCACUGGAGCACAGGAGGGAGCUUCAAGGGAAUUAAUUGUGAUUGGAAGAAAUCUGAAAGUAGUGCACUGACGGAUGAUCUCUUUGAAGCUUGAAAUUGUAAGAGUCAGAAGGUUCCCAGCAAGGCUGUGCACAUUUUUAUACAGCAGGAUCUUUUUCUUUUAAGAAAACAGCUAAGAAAUUGGUUUGGCAUUUCCCUCUUGAACAAAAUUGAAAAGGACUGGUCUGAACCAGGACACCAACAUGUUCAGACCAUUUAUAUUGUGUAGUGCAUCCACUUAGCAACAGCAUAAGAGGUGCUUUCUCAGAAGGCAUCGUUUCAGAGACUUGCCUUUAAUUAACAGUGAGUUGAAAUACACGUUUGAGAAGAACAGGGUAUGGACUGUCUGUAUUCAAAACUUUAACAAUAAAUAAGAAACCUGGCUUAAGCAUGUAUCCAAGUUGGUUAGAGUUCUUGACCUCUUAGCUGAAGAAAAACCAUGGAGACAGGCCUCCAGAUCAACUUAGCUUUGUCAAUCAUUACUGAAUUAAUAGCACCACGACAUAAUGCUUAACUUCUGGAGCGACAGCUAAACAUAUUCACAGCAACACCCUUUGUGUUAAACCUGGAAGAACCGUAGCUAAUGAUGCAUCUCCGCCAAGGGCUGUAUACUUCUGCAACAAUCUAUUACUGACUGCCGAACACACUGAGAUCAUCCACACUUCGUGGUGAUCAGAGGUAUGGUGCAAGUGGUCUUCCACCCCAGCUUUAACUUCAUCGCCUGGGCAUAGCUAUAAGUCAGGAUGAAAUCAG